GAUGAACGCUGGCGGCGUGCCUAAUACAUGCAAGUCGAGCGAACGGACGAGAAGCUUGCUUCUCUGAUGUUAGCGGCGGACGGGUGAGUAACACGUGGAUAACCUACCUAUAAGACUGGGAUAACUUCGGGAAACCGUAGCUAAUACCGGAUAAUAUUUUGAACCGCAUGGUUCAAAAGUGAAAGACGGUCUUGCUGGCACUUAUAGAUGGAUCCGCGCUGCAUUAGCUAGUUGGUAAGGUAACGGCUUACCAAGGCAACGAUGCAUAGCCGACCUGAGAGGGUGAUCGGCCACACUGGAACUGAGACACGGUCCAGACUCCUACGGGAGGCAGCAGUAGGGAAUCUUCCGCAAUGGGCGAAAGCCUGACGGAGCAACGCCGCGUGAGUGAUGAAGGUCUUCGGAUCGUAAAACUCUGUUAUUAGGGAAGAACAUAUGUGUAAGUAACUGUGCACAUCUUGACGGUACCUAAUCAGAAAGCCACGGCUAACUACGUG
Molecule: ribosomal RNA, 497 nt
Filed under: uncultured bacterium
Lineage: Bacteria
Description: partial 16S ribosomal RNA
Rfam family: Bacterial small subunit ribosomal RNA
Source: RNAcentral